This is a small nuclear RNA of Ictidomys tridecemlineatus (thirteen-lined ground squirrel), 106 nucleotides long. NCBI's taxonomy places the organism in Eukaryota, Metazoa, Chordata, Mammalia, Rodentia, Sciuridae. The record is from Ensembl.
GUGCUCACCUUGGCAGCACAUAUACUAAAAUCAGAAUGACACAGAGAAGAUUAGCACGGCCCUGUGCAAGGAUGACAUGCAAAUUCGGGAAGCAUUCCAUAUUUUA